This 22-nucleotide non-coding RNA is filed under the name Arabidopsis thaliana (thale cress). The record is from RNAcentral. Lineage: Eukaryota; Viridiplantae; Streptophyta; Magnoliopsida; Brassicales; Brassicaceae.
GUGAGACUCAAACCCUAUUCCC